This 464-nucleotide ribosomal RNA is filed under the name uncultured bacterium. Its description in RNAcentral is "bacterial SSU rRNA". It matches the Rfam family "Bacterial small subunit ribosomal RNA", at positions 338 to 795 of the family's 1533-position model. The record is from RNAcentral.
CCUACGGGUGGCUGCAGUAGGGAAUCUUCCGCAAUGGACGAAAGUCUGACGGAGCAACGCCGCGUGAGCGAAGAAGGUCUUCGGAUCGUAAAGCUCUGUUGUUAGGGAAGAACAAGUACGGGAGGAAAUGACCGUACCUUGACGGUACCUUAGGAGGAAGCCCCGGCUAACUACGUGCCAGCAGCCGCGGUAAUACGUAGGGGGCGAGCGUUAUCCGGAAUUAUUGGGCGUAAAGGGUGCGUAGGCGGCCUUGUAAGUCAGGUGUGAAAGGCUACGGCUCAACCGUAGUUAGCACUUGAAACUGCAGGGCUUGAGUGCAGGAGAGGAGAGUGGAAUUCCUAGUGUAGCGGUGAAAUGCGUAGAUAUUAGGAGGAACACCAGUGGCGAAGGCGACUCUCUGGACUGUAACUGACGCUGAGGCACGAAAGCGUGGGGAGCGAACAGGAUUAGAUACCCCAGUAGUC